This 580-nucleotide ribosomal RNA is filed under the name Mumia flava. RNAcentral's name for it is "bacterial LSU rRNA". It matches the Rfam family "Bacterial large subunit ribosomal RNA", at positions 2357 to 2925 of the family's 2925-position model. Lineage: Bacteria; Bacillati; Actinomycetota; Actinomycetes; Propionibacteriales; Nocardioidaceae. The record is from RNAcentral.
GCAUAAGCGUGCUUAACUGCGAGACCGACAAGUCGAGCAGGUGCGAAAGCAGGUCAUAGUGAUCCGGUGGUUCUGUAUGGAAGGGCCAUCGCUCAACGGAUAAAAGGUACUCUGGGGAUAACAGGCUGAUACCGCCCAAGAGUUCAUAUCGACGGCGGUGUUUGGCACCUCGAUGUCGGCUCAUCUCAUCCUGGGGCUGUAGCCGGUCCCAAGGGUAUGGCUGUUCGCCAUUUAAAGAGGUACGUGAGCUGGGUUUAAAACGUCGUGAGACAGUUUGGUCCCUAUCUGCCGUGGGCGUUGGAUAUUUGAAGGGGGCUGCUCCUAGUACGAGAGGACCGGAGUGGACGAACCUCUGGUGUACCGGUUGUCACGCCAGUGGCAUCGCCGGGUAGCUAUGUUCGGAAGAGAUAACCGCUGAAAGCAUCUAAGCGGGAAACUCGCCUUAAGAUGAGAUAUCCCUGGGGACUAGAUCCCCUUGAAGGGUCGUUCGAGACCAGGACGUUGAUAGGUCAGGUGUGUAAGCGCAGUAAUGCGUUCAGCUAACUGAUACUAAUUGCCCGUAAGGCUUGAUCCUAUAACA